RNAcentral lists this ribosomal RNA (495 nucleotides) under uncultured bacterium. RNAcentral describes it as "partial 16S ribosomal RNA". It matches the Rfam family "Bacterial small subunit ribosomal RNA", at positions 29 to 507 of the family's 1533-position model. The record is from RNAcentral.
AUGCACGCUGGCGGCGUGCCUAAUACAUGCAAGUCGAGCGAACAGAUGAGGAGCUUGCUCCUCUGACGUUAGCGGCGGACGGGUGAGUAACACGUGGAUAACCUACCUAUAAGACUGGGAUAACUUCGGGAAACCGGAGCUAAUACCGGAUAAUAUAUUGAACCGCAUGGUUCAAUAGUGAAAGACGGUUUUGCUGUCACUUAUAGAUGGAUCCGCGCCGCAUUAGCUAGUUGGUAAGGUAACGGCUUACCAAGGCAACGAUGCGUAGCCGACCUGAGAGGGUGAUCGGCCACACUGGAACUGAGACACGGUCCAGACUCCUACGGGAGGCAGCAGUAGGGAAUCUUCCGCAAUGGGCGAAAGCCUGACGGAGCAACGCCGCGUGAGUGAUGAAGGUCUUCGGAUCGUAAAACUCUGUUAUUAGGGAAGAACAAUGUGUAAGUAACUAUGCACGUCUUGACGGUACCUAAUCAGAAAGCCACGGCUAACUACGUG